This 468-nucleotide ribosomal RNA is filed under the name uncultured bacterium. RNAcentral's name for it is "partial 16S ribosomal RNA". It matches the Rfam family "Bacterial small subunit ribosomal RNA", at positions 28 to 507 of the family's 1533-position model. The record is from RNAcentral.
GACGAACGCUGGCGGCGUGCUUAACACAUGCAAGUCGAACGGAAAGGCCCUGCUUUUGUUGGGUGCUCGAGUGGCGAACGGGUGAGUAACACGUGAGUAACCUGCCCUUGACUUUGGGAUAACUUCACGAAACUGGGGCUCAUACCGGAUAGGAUCUCCUGCUGCAUGGUGGUGGUUGGAAAGUUUCGGCGGUUGUGGAUGGACUCGCGGCUUAUCAGCUUGUUUGUGGGGUAGUGGCUUACCAAGGCUUUGACGGGUAGCCGGCCUGAGAGGGUUACCGGCCACAUUGGGACUGAGACACGGCCCAGACUCCUACGGGAGGCAGCAGUGGGGAAUAUUGCACAAUGGGCGGAAGCCUGAUGCAGCAACGCCGCGUGCGGGAUGACGGCCUUCGGGUUGUAAACCGAUUUCGACUGUGACGAAGAGUGAGUGACGGUAAUGGGUAAAGAAGCAACGGCUAACUACGUG